Long non-coding RNA from Sphaeramia orbicularis (orbiculate cardinalfish), 1275 nucleotides. RefSeq lists it as uncharacterized. Lineage: Eukaryota; Metazoa; Chordata; Actinopteri; Kurtiformes; Apogonidae. The transcript has 4 exons. The record is from RefSeq and is a predicted model, not a curated record.
UGGAGCUACAUCCAUCCAGUCUGUGUGGAUGAGAAAGAGGUUAUCUCCCCGUCAUGUCUCCGCCAAUAUAUAAUAACUCUGCUGCUGUUGAAAUCUUACUAAGUUCUUCAGUGAAGUGAAGUCGGUGUUUUCAAGGUGAACUAUAGGUCACAAUGCGAAUGCUAUAUAGCAGAAUCUGUAGCUAGCAUUUAAGUUAGCAGUUAGCUCAUUGGACCACGCACCGAGCAUGAGCAGGCCGCCUGAUGGAGCUGUUACUGGGGUGAUAUACCUGGGACUAGGAUGUGAUAUCUGACAGAUCAGGAUGGCAGCUGUGAUGAGUCGAUGAUGUACUAGCUCUAACAUGAAUUUUUCAUCUGAGUUCAGUGGCUGGGAUGAAGAUCAGCACCUUAAAGUCUGAAGCCAUGGUCCUCAGCUGGAAAAGGGUGGAGUGCCUGCUCCAGGCUGGGGGGUUAAGUAUCUCGGGAUCUUGUUCAUGAGUGAUGGAGUGGGAGAUUGAUGGACAGCGUCCACAGUGACAUGGAUGCUGAACUGAUUCAUUGUGGUAAAGAGGGAGCUGAGGCGAUGCUCUUGAUCUACGUUCCAACCUCAUGUAUGGUCAUGAGCUCUGGGUAAUGACCAAAAGAAUGAGUUCAAGCGGCCAAAAUGAGUUUCCUCUGCAGGGUGGCUGGGCUCAGCCUGAGGGAUAAGGUGAGGAACUCAGAGUAGAGCAGCUGCUCCUCCACAUCGAGAGGAGCCAGUUGAGGUGGUUCGGGAAUCUGGGGAGGUAUAUUGGGCGUGUCCAACCAGGAAGAGGCCUUGGGGCUGACCCAGGACAUGCUGGAGGGAUUGUAUCGACCAGCUGGCCUGGAAAUGCCUUGGGAUUGCCCUGGAAGAGCUGUUGGAAGUGGCUGGGGAGAGGGCUGUUGGGGCUUCUGUGCUGAGACUGCUGCCCUUGUGACCCAUAUAAGCGGAAGACGAGUAUGAGUUUUCAGCUGUUUUUAAAGGAUGCUUUUUUUUUUUUGUAUAAUAAAAGGUUGAUUAUGGAAGGUAAUGUACCUACUUGAUGUCGGAGUCCCUUUUGUAUUGGAAGCCAGUCAAUUGUUGGCAUUAACUGACUCAUUAACAAGGUAACAGUCUUGUUUUCUGACCCCCAUUCAUGUUUACAGGACAACACAAGAUGCUGUGGGUUUGAACAUAGAGUUGGAUAAUGGUCAAUAGAUGUCUAUAGUCAAACAUAAGCACAGCAGCAUGUUCAAGUCUUAAUUACAUAAUUUAAAGGUUACACGUAAUGCAAAA